GUAGUUGCUUCAAGUAUUAUGGAACUUGGUUAAACUUUUCUGAAUCAGAAGGUAGAUAAGAUGAUUUUGAUAUAGAUGAUUUUUACUCUCAUAGCAUGAGUAGAAAGACAAAGUCUUCUUCUCGACCCUUUGGGAAUAGGAAACACAUAACUACACAUAGACGAUUGUGUUAAGUGGAAACAGAACGUUGACACAAAAGUACAACGUUCGAACACCGAUUCUGAGUUUAAUUCAACAAGAACUACUAAAACUUCUUUGUGUUUGCAAAUACCCUUUCGUCAAGAACGAUCGAUCGAAUUGCAUAAGGUAAACUUAAAAUACUGAAGUGAGAAUCGGUAUAAAAAGCAGCACGUAUGGAUUGCUCUCACAUCACUACUUCUCCUGCCACUACAACUCAAACAUCGGUCGCAUAUUGUUGAUCAGCCGAGUUCUCUUUAGAUCACACAGCGAAAUGACAGCUAGAAUGGUAUGGUUAUGCUUACCUCUUUUACUUGCUGUGCUAUCACCAUGCCUGAUUGAAGCAGCCUGGGAAGACUGGAACACGGGAUAUGGUGGCGUCAAAUGGCUGCUCAAUUGCGAUUUUCCUGGUUACGACAUUGGCAACCGACGAAGUACUGGAGAAGACUGUGGUCGCAUCUGCAUGGAAAAUCCGAAUUGUAAUCAUUUUAGUCACUUUCAUGGAAUUUGUUACAUGAAAACCGUACCGAUAGCUGUUCCUCGUACACCGGCGAACGGUGGGAUGUGUGGUUUCCUUCCAUGUCAUCAUCUGUACAAUCCAUUGCCGGGACAUUACUGUUACAACUACAAGACGCUGGCGUUACAUCAAGCUAGUCUGUAACGUGUAACUUAAUAUUCGUGUGUAACUUAAUAUUCGUAUCACGAUAUAAUAGGAAUUCGAUAAUAAUCGAUUCCUUUUAUAUCGUGAUUCGUAUAAUACACGACAUUAAAAACUGUAUACAAAACCACGUCAUUACGUGGUCAUUGUAAUACGAAAAAUACUGAAGGGGAGGCAUCAGUAAGUUGUGACAUGAUGCCGAAUAACGCUAGCAAUAUGUUUAACUGGUGUUUUGUGUGGAAUGUACAAGUAUAUAAGUAAGCUAGUUAUAUCUAAUUUUGCAGAACACAUAACAGAGCCGUGUAAAGUGAUUCUACACUGUCUCACAAAAAUUGACGUGGAAAUAAGUUGAAUGCAAUAAAAAUCAGAAAAAAAAAUGUGGCAUACACAAGAAAAGCAAACAAAACAAGAUGAAAAGAUACCACUGACUUGGAAAUUGUUUCCCUCCUGGUGUAAAUGAUGUAUAGCUUCUUUGUGAACAGCUAACAUUCAGCUUUCAGUCAGCUGACAGGUCAGGACUUAGAAUGCAGCCUUACUGUGGGGCUUAAUUAAAUCAAAGCAGCAUUAAACACGCCACAAUAAAAGACAUUUCAUAGAUAUGUCGAUCAUGCAGUAACCAAGAAGUUGGGAAUUCUAAGUUUUAAUCUCACGAGAAAGAAAACUCUAGAACCCGUCGUUAGCAACACUCCCACUGCACUGAUUGUCUGCCAGAGACCAAGGAAACCAUUAUGACUCAGCUAGGUAACUGGCGGCCAUUACGCAGUUUUCUUACCCUAACUCUCAUCAAAUUUUGGAGGUUAUCUACUGAUUUACAACAGCAAUGGCGUCCCCCUUUACGAAAACAAUGAAACCAUGAAUGGUAACGGGAAGGUAACAACUGCUGAGCCAAAGAACUAGUCGCAACAGAGGGUUUGCCCGACCUGCAAAUAAUUGCAUUUUCCGCUGCCCUGCAAAGAUGGAUUCACCCUGUAGAGCUGAUCCAAGCUGAUGCCACAGGACUGAGCUGUUGCCCAGCAAGUGUCUCCGCUUUUUAUCUUUUUACAACGCUUGCACAUUGCAGAUUCGGGCGAAGACAGCAACAACAGGCAGAACAAAACUGCACAAACAAUAGUAAACUGCAAACAGAGAAUUGAAAUCUGAUGCUCCAGAAAUGAUACAACGGACCAAGUUAUACUUUAUCAGAAGAGUGUUCCAAAGAAUAAGUUUGGGAUCGGCUCAGGCUAUUUUACACCAAUUCAUUGCCAUUUCGUUAGGCGUAGAUUUGUCGCAGUUCUAAAUUCGUUAUGUAAAAAUUUGAAGGUGCAACGAUUCCAGGUAAAUGACUUUUUUGUGUUAAACGUUGCGAAAUCGAAGAAAAACUAGGAAUCAGACGGUAACAACUUAAAAAUUCUACUUACGGUAUGAAUGGGCUUAAUGGGCCAAAAGCAACUAUUUACUCCCCAAAGGUAUUUUAACAUCUUGGACAUUGAUGGAAUAAGCAGAUACAAGGUAAAUCAAAUGUAUUCAUUCAAAUCACCUUAUUCCUACAAACGUGUGCCAAUAUUUGAGUAGCAUCGCCGCAAGAAUGGCUGCUAAUAGCGCUGUACUUUCUCAUCACAUGCAUUAGUAUUUGUCAAUGAAAACAAGUUUAUAUCAAUGCUUUUCCGACUUUGGCUACGAUGCAAUUACGAGAAAAUCAAUAAAUUCGUGAAAUAGUUUAUACAUCAUA
Molecule: long non-coding RNA, 2543 nt
Organism: Daphnia magna
Lineage: Eukaryota; Metazoa; Arthropoda; Branchiopoda; Diplostraca; Daphniidae
Exons: 4
Source: RefSeq, a predicted model, not a curated record